This 488-nucleotide ribosomal RNA is filed under the name uncultured bacterium. RNAcentral describes it as "bacterial SSU rRNA". It matches the Rfam family "Bacterial small subunit ribosomal RNA", at positions 256 to 736 of the family's 1533-position model. The record is from RNAcentral.
GGUAACGGCCCACCAAGGCGAUGAUCAGUAGCCGGUCUGAGAGGAUGAACGGCCACAUUGGGACUGAGACACGGCCCAGACUCCUACGGGAGGCAGCAGUGGGGAAUCUUCCGCAAUAGACGAAAGUCUGACGGAGCAACGCCGCGUGAGUGAUGACGGCCUUCGGGUUGUAAAGCUCUGUUAAUCGGGACGAAAGGCCUUCUUGCGAAUAGUUAGAAGGAUUGACGGUACCGGAAUAGAAAGCCACGGCUAACUACGUGCCAGCAGCCGCGGUAAUACGUAGGUGGCAAGCGUUGUCCGGAAUUAUUGGGCGUAAAGCGCGCGCAGGCGGAUUGGUCAGUCUGUCUUAAAAGUUCGGGGCUUAACCCCGUGAUGGGAUGGAAACUGCCAAUCUAGAGUAUCGGAGAGGAAAGUGGAAUUCCUAGUGUAGCGGUGAAAUGCGUAGAUAUUAGGAAGAACACCAGUGGCGAAGGCGACUUUCUGGACGA